UCACUGGUCUGAACGAGUCACAGGGCCACGCUGAACUUCAAGGGACCGUGGAAAUGUAAUCCAGCAUGCGUUUGGAAUGAAGACUAGAAAAAUCCGGGAGGACAGCCCUAACGAUACACAAGGGAUAACUCGGGAAAGGAGAGCGAAGACCAGGUCACGCCCACGGGUGGGCCUUGAAUGCCACGUUCAAGAGUGUGGAACUCGUCCAGCGUGAUGGGGAGCGCCGAGUAGGUGAGUGAGAUGUCAGCCCGUGGGGAACGAAGGAGGCCGGCCCAGGAGAAGGUCGCAAGAGAAGAAGGAGGUUAAGAGGAAGGGAGGAGCAGCAGGAGAGAAGGAAUGGCAGCUUUGCCGUGGUGCAGAACCACCCUGCAGAAAACUCCUGCCCCAGCCCGGGUUUGGGGGGCGAAGUUACAUGAGGGCGCCCGCCGGUGGGCAGGCGCGAACUCCGGACCCUGAGAUCAAGAGUCCCUUGCUCUACUGAGCCAGGUGCGCAUCGCCACCUUUAAAGUGGGAACAAUAACAGAGCCUCAUGUGUUAAUAUGUGUAGGGUGCUUCGAUUCUUGAUGAGGACUCAAGGCCCAGAGAACAACUCGGCCAAGGUCACCUGGGACCAAGACCACUGAGUGACAAAACCGACUGGAGCUCCGAGGCCUGCAGCACCUGUGACCUGUCUUUGGAGGAUCUCCUACCAUGGCCCAGUGGCCACAGGAUGGCUCUCAGACAAGCUUGUGGCCGUGGGAGAGCCCAGCUCCCCUGCCUUGGGUUGGGCAUUUUGGAGGCCAGACUUGCCUUCCAGGGUUCGCUGUGGGAGCAGGCUGGAGCUUCCGUCUGCAGGACUUGUGCAGAAUCACACCCAGGCUUGGCUUGGUCCCAUCCCGGUCCUGCUUCCCCUGCCCCUCACUGGCUUCUCUGAGAGCAACUUUGAAAUAAAUU
Long non-coding RNA from Zalophus californianus (California sea lion), 933 nucleotides. RefSeq lists it as uncharacterized. The transcript has 5 exons. Lineage: Eukaryota; Metazoa; Chordata; Mammalia; Carnivora; Otariidae. The record is from RefSeq and is a predicted model, not a curated record.